GGGUGAGUUGACGUAUAGUGCCGUUAAUGAGCUGCUUACCUGAAUGCCCUGGAAGGUCCAGAAUACGUUUUAAGUCCACCUGACAUUUGUCAGCAGAGGCUCUCGGGAGACUCCAUAACCCGGAUGAAGGUCAAAGGGCAAACUGCAGCAUCUUUGCAGGGGGCGACAUCUGUCUGUCAAAGUUGGAAGGGCACCACUAUAAGAACAAGCCUGACAGGAAAAAGUAAAGUCGCGUGUGGAGGAGCUGCUGUUGCUGCUGCUGCUCGGAAGGUAAACGGAAAGGGUCACUGAAGAAGAAGAGGAGGAGGAGGAGGAGGAGCGGAGGCAGAGGGUGGAAAAGAGAAGCCGUCGGAUGAGAGAGAGAGAGAGAGAUGAGAGAGAGAGACUUGUGGCAUUUGGUGUAAGGCAAAGUCCAUAGAGCCUCGUGCGCCGCGCGAAGAAGAAGAGUGAGUGAGUGCACUAGAUCGCAGGCUCCCGGAGUCUACGGACGUUGUUGGGUGUUCUCUCUCUCUGCCUGGCUCACACGAAGAGCGGCCGCCGUGGGAGUCGCUCGCGCCACAGCAUCGACCCCUCGUUCGCUCGCUGUCUGGCUGUUGAGACUCUGCUCUGCUCAAGCUCUGCACUGCUGUAGUACAGCAGCAUCAAAACCAUUGUGGUCCUACUACAGCUUCCUACUCAGUUUACAACACUGAAAAUUGUGUCGUUAAAUAAUCGCAUUUUCAACAACUGAAGUCUCUCAUUUUUAUUUACAUUUUCAUUCGAGAAUUUAGAACUUAAGGAACUUCGUUAUUUUUAUAUUGCGAAGUUUCUACCGGAAUUUUAUUUUACUUUUUUGAUGAAGUGGUUUUUUUUUUAUUAUUUUAUUUUCGUUAAUCGUGCGUGACAGAGUUUUGUGAUGACGCCAACAUGUGGAUGACGGUAGAGAUAAUAGUAUGUUGCAAAGGCGAUAUUGACUUGAGUGCGUUUUUCGAGAGCGUUAACGGGACUUCUGUAAAAUAGAGUGAUAUUGGAAAAAAUUAAAACGGAGGAUUGGUCAAUUGUUUCAGACGAUUUGUUAUAAAAAUGUGUAAACGGACAUAGAAAAGUUAUUGAUAAAUGAUACAUCUAGUGACAGUUUUAUAAUGUAAGAUGAGAAAACAUUGAAAAAAAAAAUAUAUGAAUUUGCAUUUGGCAUUUUAUUGAAACGAAACCAAAUAAACUUUGAAAAAUAAAGGAUUAAGUUUAAGCGUUCAUAGAGUUCAAACCUUUUGUGUAAAAGUAGUAGAUUUGUACUUAGUGACAUUGAAAUUCCACGAAAUUUGGAACAUAACAAGAAAAUAAACUGAACAUUGGAAGCAAGUGCCACCGUCUCCUUCCUUAGCUAAGAAGACUCGUUCAUCUUCUGCAGUAGUGGGAGAACUGCAUCCCACCCCUGUCAAAUUUUGCCCACUCCAGAGCGUGUUGCUGCCCUCCUCCUCCUCCUCCUCCUCUCCUCCUCCUCACACA
Molecule: long non-coding RNA, 1485 nt
Organism: Macrobrachium nipponense
Lineage: Eukaryota; Metazoa; Arthropoda; Malacostraca; Decapoda; Palaemonidae
Exons: 4
Source: RefSeq, a predicted model, not a curated record